AAAGGUAGCAAAAUCAAUAGUUUUAUAAUUGAAAGCUGGAAUGAAGGAUUGAAUGAAAUAUAGACUGUCUCAAUUUUAAAUUUUUAAUUUUCUUUUUAGUUAAAAAGCUAAAAUUUUAUUAAAAGACGAGAAGACCCUAUAGAUUUUUAUAUUUAAAAAUUUAUUAUUAAUAAUAAAAUAUUAUAUUUAUCUUUUUUAAAUAUUUGGUUGGGGCAAUUAUUAAAUUAAUUAAAUUUUAAUGAUAUUAAAACAAUAAUUUUUGAAUUUAUGAAUUUGAAUUUUAAAUUUGAAAAUAAAAUACCUUAGGGAUAACAGCGUAAUUUUUUUGGAGAGAUCUUAUUAAUAAAAAAGUUUGCGACCUCGAUGUUGAAUUAAGAUAAAAUUUUAAUGUAGAAGUUAAAAAUUUUUGGUCUGUUCGACCAUUAAAAUCUUACA
Molecule: ribosomal RNA, 435 nt
Filed under: Labena grallator
Lineage: Eukaryota; Metazoa; Arthropoda; Insecta; Hymenoptera; Ichneumonidae
Description: partial 16S ribosomal RNA
Rfam family: Archaeal large subunit ribosomal RNA (bases 308-435)
Source: RNAcentral